This 429-nucleotide ribosomal RNA is filed under the name uncultured bacterium. RNAcentral's name for it is "bacterial SSU rRNA". It matches the Rfam family "Bacterial small subunit ribosomal RNA", at positions 355 to 775 of the family's 1533-position model. The record is from RNAcentral.
UGAGGAAUCUUGCGCAAUGGGGAAAACCCUGACGCAGCAACGCCGCGUGAGUGAGGAAGGUCUUCGGGUCGUAAAGCUCUGUCAGGCGGGAAGAAAUGCAUGGAGGUGAACAGCCGCCAUGCUUGACGGUACCACCAGAGGAAACACCGGCUAACUCCGUGCCAGCAGCCGCGGUAAUACGGGGGGUGCAAGCGUUGUUCGGAAUCAUUGGGCGUAAAGAGCGUGUAGGCGGCUUGGUAAGUCAGAUGUGAAAGCCCUGGGCUCAACCCGGGAAGUGCAUUUGAAACUGCCAGGCUCGAGUAGGGGAGAGGGAAGUGGAAUUCCUGGUGUAGAGGUGAAAUUCGUAGAUAUCAGGAGGAACACCGGUGGCGAAGGCGACUUCCUGGCCCUAUACUGACGCUGAGACGCGAGAGCGUGGGUAGCAAACAG